This is a long non-coding RNA of Myotis lucifugus (little brown bat), 248 nucleotides long. RefSeq lists it as uncharacterized. Lineage: Eukaryota; Metazoa; Chordata; Mammalia; Chiroptera; Vespertilionidae. The transcript has 3 exons. The record is from RefSeq and is a predicted model, not a curated record.
AUGUAAAAUUUUAAGAUUCACCUUCAGAAAGUAAGGAGAGGAAGCAUAACCUACCUGCAGUUAAGGCAUAGAGAGAGAACAAAGAUCAAAUAUUUUACAACACAGAUCCUUGAGUUUGACUCUGAAAUACUAUAUUUUAUUUUACUUCAACUUCCGGUUUUAAUGGCACUUAAAAACUGUUUCUAUUAUUAGCAAGUUUUGAAUUUUGAGUAAAUUGAAAUGGAAAUAAAAGUUGUUUCUAAAAAUAA